RNAcentral lists this ribosomal RNA (447 nucleotides) under uncultured bacterium. RNAcentral's name for it is "bacterial SSU rRNA". It matches the Rfam family "Bacterial small subunit ribosomal RNA", at positions 328 to 792 of the family's 1533-position model. The record is from RNAcentral.
UACCCAGACUCCUACGGGAGGCAGCAGUGAGGAAUAUUGCACAAUGGGGGAAACCCUGAUGCAGCGACGCCGCGUGAGUGAAGAAGUAUUUCGGUAUGUAAAGCUCUAUCAGCAGGGAAGAACAUGACGGUACCUGACUAAGAAGCCCCGGCUAACUACGUGCCAGCAGCCGCGGUAAUACGUAGGGGGCAAGCGUUAUCCGGAUUUACUGGGUGUAAAGGGAGCGUAGACGGCAGUGCAAGCCUGGAGUGAAGGGAUGGGGCCCAACCCCAUGACUGCUCUGGGAACUGUACAGCUAGAGUGCCGGAGGGGUAAGCGGAAUUCCUAGUGUAGCGGUGAAAUGCGUAGAUAUUAGGAGGAACACCAGUGGCGAAGGCGGCUUACUGGACGGUAACUGACGUUGAGGCUCGAAAGCGUGGGGAGCAAACAGGAUUAGAUACCCGUGUA